Molecule: ribosomal RNA, 246 nt
Filed under: uncultured bacterium
Lineage: Bacteria
Description: partial 16S ribosomal RNA
Rfam family: Bacterial small subunit ribosomal RNA
Source: RNAcentral
AUACGGAGGAUCCGAGCGUUAUCCGGAUUUAUGGGUUUAAAGGGUGCGUAGGUGGUUUGAUAAGUCAGCGGUGAAAGUUUGCAGCUUAACUGUAAAAAUGCCGUUGAAACUGUCGGACUUGAGUGUAAAUGAGGUAGGCGGAAUGCGUGGUGUAGCGGUGAAAUGCAUAGAUAUCACGCAGAACUCCGAUUGCGAAGGCAGCUUACCGGGGUACAACUGACGCUGAGGCACGAAAGUGUGGGUAUC